GUCCUGGUCUACUUUCAAAAUGAACACAAAAGUAGUAUUUUUAACUUUUCUCAUUAUGGCUUGCUUAAUUGCAAUGGCGCAUGCUGAAGCUUCUAUGGGGCUCGCUCAAUCGUUCUUGAAAGUGAAAAACAUGGUUACGGACUUAAAUCCUCAGAAGAGCUCGCUUGGUCAGCAGCAGUAAAAUUAUAAAUAAAUGAAUUGAUAAAUUUAU
Long non-coding RNA from Colias croceus (clouded yellow), 211 nucleotides. RefSeq lists it as uncharacterized. The record is from RefSeq and is a predicted model, not a curated record. The transcript is spliced from 3 exons. Lineage: Eukaryota; Metazoa; Arthropoda; Insecta; Lepidoptera; Pieridae.